This 710-nucleotide ribosomal RNA is filed under the name Chloroflexota bacterium. RNAcentral describes it as "bacterial SSU rRNA". It matches the Rfam family "Bacterial small subunit ribosomal RNA", at positions 1 to 731 of the family's 1533-position model. Lineage: Bacteria; Bacillati; Chloroflexota. The record is from RNAcentral.
UGUUUGGAGAGUUUGAUCCUGGCUCAGGAUGAACGCUGGCGGCGCGCUUUAUGCAUGCAAGUCGAACGGUCUUUUUCGCAAGGGAAAGACAGUGGCGAACGGGUGAGUAACGCGUAAGUAACCUGUCCUUAAGUGGGGGAUAGCCCCGGGAAACUGGGGUUAAUACCGCAUGUAGUCCUUCACCGCAGGGUGAAGGACUAAAGCCGUAAGGCGCUUGAGGAGGGGCUUGCGUCCGAUUAGCUAGUUGGUAGGGUAACGGCCUACCAAGGCAGUGAUCGGUAGCUGGUCUGAGAGGAUGGUCAGCCACACUGGGACUGAGACACGGCCCAGACUCCUACGGGAGGCAGCAGCAAGGAAUUUUGUGCAAUGGGCGAAAGCCUGACACAGCGACGCCGCGUGAGGGAUGAAGGCCUUCGGGUUGUAAACCUCUUUUCUCAGGGACGAAUAAUGACGGUACCUGAGGAAUAAGUCUCGGCUAACUACGUGCCAGCAGCCGCGGUAAUACGUAGGAGGCUAGCGUUAUCCGGAUUUAUUGGGCGUAAGGAGCGCGUAGGCGGCUUUUCAAGUCGGAUGUAAAAUCUCCCGGCUUAACUGGGAGGGAUCGUCCGAUACUGUUGGGCUUGAGUGCAGCAGAGGGAAGCGGAAUUCCCGGUGUAGUGGUGAAAUACGUAGAUAUCGGGAGGAACACCAGUGGCGAAGGCGGCUUUCUA